GAGAUCUUAAGGUUCGAACACAGUUCUUCACCUUUGGAUAGAGAGUCAAAGACUAUAACCGUCAUCUUUUGGAAGAUAAUUUAUUUUGCCACAAAGGCUAGUCAAUGUACAUCAUUCUGACUAACUAGAUGAUUGUGAGCCCCAGAGGAGUCAUCCGUGGGAAUUGUCGAACUUGAUAAUUUAAAUAGCCAUGGUGCAAACAAACCAUAUAGGCCAAUAGAUAGUAUUUAGUUUAUUUGAUCAUGUCUUGCCUAGAUUUUUAAAUAAACCAUCUUUGGCGUUUAAAUGGAAUAAAUCCUUUAUACUUACUAGACGGGGGACAUAAGUCACGACUGUCAAUGUCAUAGCGACAUCUUAUAUAGCACAACGGCUUGUCCCAUAGGACUUUUCGAUGGCAUAGAUGCCUUGUCACUAGGGAAAUUUUAAAACAUAACCAAUGAUUCCUUUGGAUCGGAAAAUUUCAUAAUUCAUUGUCUUGACAAGAAGUUAUGAAAUAAAACUAUCGUUUUCAUGUAUGCAUCUUUGCCCGUAGGUAUACAUCCCAGGUGGAUGUUUAGAUGUGUAUAUCAUGUUCGACGUUUAUUAGCCAUGAUUCCUAUCGAUCAUGUAGGCUAAUUAAGGGGUUUGGAAGUUCCUAAUAUAAAGGUGACAAUCGCGAUUUUAUCGCAUCAAUGUUGUCGGGAGUGUUGACACGUUUUCAGGUGUUUAUCAGGAUCCGAAUCUCUUCUAAACAGGUUUUACCAUCUUAGCAAGGUCUUCAAUGACAUUCAAGCUAGGUCAAACUUUUUAAGAUUCUCCUUUAAUACAUAC
This 810-nucleotide long non-coding RNA is filed under the name Helianthus annuus (common sunflower). RNAcentral's name for it is "hypothetical non coding rna". The record is from RNAcentral. Lineage: Eukaryota; Viridiplantae; Streptophyta; Magnoliopsida; Asterales; Asteraceae.